RNAcentral lists this ribosomal RNA (351 nucleotides) under uncultured bacterium. Its description in RNAcentral is "bacterial SSU rRNA". It matches the Rfam family "Bacterial small subunit ribosomal RNA", at positions 30 to 387 of the family's 1533-position model. The record is from RNAcentral.
AUUGAACGCUGGCGGCAUGCCUUACACAUGCAAGUCGAACGGCAGCACGGGAGCAAUCCUGGUGGCGAGUGGCGAACGGGUGAGUAAUAUAUCGGAACGUGCCCAGUCGUGGGGAUAACGUAGCGAAAGCUACGCUAAUACGCAUACGAUCUAUGGAUGAAAGCGGGGGAUCGCAAGACCUCGCGCGAUUGGAGCGGCCGAUAUCAGAUUAGGUAGUUGGUGAGGUAAAGGCUCACCAAGCGACGAUCUGUAGCUGGUCUGAGAGGACGACCAGCCACACUGGGACUGAGACACGGCCCAGACNCUACGGAGGCAGCAGUGGGGAUUUUGGACAAUGGGCGCAAGCCUGAU